RNAcentral lists this ribosomal RNA (776 nucleotides) under uncultured Bacillota bacterium. RNAcentral describes it as "bacterial SSU rRNA". It matches the Rfam family "Bacterial small subunit ribosomal RNA", at positions 58 to 865 of the family's 1533-position model. The record is from RNAcentral. Lineage: Bacteria; Bacillati; Bacillota.
CAAGUCGAACGAGAAAGCAGGAGCAAUCUUGUGAGUAAAGUGGCGUACGGGUGAGUAACACGUGGAUCAUCUACCCUCUUGUGGGGGAUAACUCUGGGAAACCGGAGCUAAUACCGCAUAAGUCCGAGAGGAGAAAGCAGCAAUGCGCAGGAGGAGGAGUCCGCGGCCGAUUAGCUAGUUGGUAGGGUAAAAGCCUACCAAGGCUACGAUCGGUAGCCGGCCUGAGAGGGCACACGGCCACACUGGCACUGAAACACGGGCCAGACUCCUACGGGAGGCAGCAGUGGGGAAUCUUGCACAAUGGGGGCAACCCUGAUGCAGCGACGCCGCGUGAGCGAUGAAGCCCUUCGGGGUGUAAAGCUCUUUCGGCAGGGAAGAUUAUGACGGUACCUGCAGAAGCAGCUGCGGCUAACUACGUGCCAGCAGCCGCGGUAAUACGUAGGCAGCAAGCGUUGUUCGGAGUUACUGGGCGUAAAGGGUGUGUAGGCGGUCUUCUAAGUUUGGUGUGAAAUCUCCCGGCUCAACUGGGAGGGUGCGCCGAAAACUGGGAGGCUAGAGUGCGGGAUGGGAGAGUGGAAUUCCUGGUGUAGCGGUGAAAUGCGUAGAUAUCAGGAGGAACACCUGUGGUGUAGACGGCUCUCUGGACCGCAACUGACGCUGAGACACGAAAGCGUGGGUAGCAAACAGGAUUAGAUACCCUGGUAGUCCACGCCCUAAACGAUGCAUAUUUGGUGUGGGCCAUUCAUUUGGUCCGUGCCGGAGCUAACGCGUUAAAU